Molecule: long non-coding RNA, 230 nt
Filed under: Homo sapiens (human)
Lineage: Eukaryota; Metazoa; Chordata; Mammalia; Primates; Hominidae
Description: PREDICTED lncRNA (TCONS_00023082)
Source: RNAcentral
AGGGAUUCUCUUCUGUCUACAGCAGCCAGCAGCUUCCUCCCGAGUCUACAGGAUAGAUACGAGUCACUGGAAGCUCCCUAUGGCUUGGUGUUGAGGUAUCACCUGCUUUUCUCCACAAAGCUAGAAAGAGAAUAACUUCCUUCUGCCUUUUCAGAGGCAGCAAGGCACAGUGGUAAGAUGACAGGAUCUAGAGACAAAUGAGCUGAAGCCAAGACUGUCCUCCAACUGGG